UGCGUGUUUACGUUACUUCGAGGAGCGCGCGAACAUGAGAAGUCGCCUCAGAAAUUUAUCCAAGAGAGUUACGAUAAGUUCACACAGCCCUUCGGUCGCAGCGUCCCGUGGACGGAUCAGAGAUGUCAUCUGGUUGUCUCAAUUUGUGGAGUUUGGACUUUGGCCGGCCUCACCCCCUCCAGCUCAGAGGAUAAAGCCGGAUCAACAUCACAUCCCUUCUGGUAUCCAUGGGCUCGAGGAGGAUACAGACACUUCCUUUCUGCUCCGCAUCCAGUGCAAAAAAAAUAAGAUGAUGAACUGAUAAAGGUGAAAGUUGCAUUGAUGAGGUUCUUGAGGUACAACGGGUUUGCUGCUGUUGACUCCUGUAUCAUGGGUUUCCAUUAACUAAAAGCAGAAGAUUCUGGCUUUUCUUCAUCCCCUAGGGAAAUAACAGACCAUUUCAUUUCAACAACCAUCUAAUUCACCAUCCUAUUGUUAUGUCUUUAUUCUUCAUGUUUCCUAGUUAUUUUAUUGCGUCUGUAUAUUUGUGUGCUUGUCAUAAUUACGCCCAUAACCAAAUCUCCACUCAGAGCAAGUUCUAGCUCCCUCUUUUAAUCAAAGGAUGUACUGUAAUCAGAUUUGUGGAGACGUUUUCCUAAUGAUGCUUACUUCAAACGGGUUCUAGUGGCUCCGAAAUGACUCAUAAUGAUCCUUGGCAGUAAGUUAUAUUAUAGAGGAAAUUGAGACUUUAAAGAGCCAUUUCAGAGAAUGGGCUAUCUGUAUUAAUCACUGACUUUGUUAAAGCAUAGCUUCCAGAGAAAUGAGCUGUCAGUCCUCCACUCCUGAACACUAAUGGUGGAAGCCGCCGUAUAAAGUGUUCAAAGUGUGUUAUUCUAAAGAGCCGUUUCCAUCAUUUAGCUUUUCUCAUUAAGACAGUUUAAUAUGUUUUUGUUUCCUUCAUUUAUAUUCAGGGUUUUUUUGUGCACAGACUGAUGGGUCCUUCUGGCUGUGGCCUUGGAAAGUCAUAGGAGGAUUUACUGAAAGUUUUGCAGGGAUGCAGUGAAGGAAAAGAUCUUUGAGGAAGAUUGUUAUGGAAAAUUAAUCUACAUAUCAGAAAUGCUGUACUGGUUAAUAUCAAGCAGGCCCUUUUAUUUCUGGUUUUAACAUCUGUUAAUGCGUCUCCUGUUAUUUUGAGGGACACUGAUUUCCUAACUAUACAUUAGCCACUAUGUGCAUGUCGAUAAAGCACAUGUCCACAAGCACAGCGUUGAUCCCAAAUAUACUUUUUAUCCUCGAGUAUAUAUAUACUUUUUAAAUCGAGUACCUGCAUUAUUAGUUAUUAGCAUUAUUUAAACAUGUAGAAAUCCUCGAAACAAGUGCACAUUUUUUUUUCAUGAAACAUUUUUCAUGUGCAGCAACA
RNAcentral lists this long non-coding RNA (1399 nucleotides) under Sinocyclocheilus anshuiensis. RNAcentral's name for it is "lncRNA (ENSSANG00000042136.1)". The record is from RNAcentral. Lineage: Eukaryota; Metazoa; Chordata; Actinopteri; Cypriniformes; Cyprinidae.